AACAGGCUGUCGUGCAUCAUAAACGUGGCUAAACAAUUCAAUUUUUACAUAGGACGAAAGAACAGUUAUUUAGCUUUUCAAUGAUACUCUUUUUAAAUCGUAACGAUGAGAAAUGGCCACAUACUCGUCAAAUAAAAAUUGCCGGUCGAAAUCACAUUCUUCCACCGUUGGGAAUUGCAUGGAAAACGAAACAAACAAUUCCCAAGAGGGAAUUAAAAUUGAAUGUUAAAUUAUCUAAAAUAAGCUCAACUCGUCAAUCUUCGUCUUAGUGAGACAAUAACUCAAUACGAAUUUGGUACGAAACAUGGUUCAAUUAACCCCUGAACAGAGAACAUUCGUUAUCAAAACGUUUUAUGAAACAAAUAGCUUGCAGCAGGCUCGCGUUGCUUUUGGAUUGACUAACUUUGCAUAAUUAAUGUAUUUUCAAUUCCCAACGGUGGAAGAAUGUGAUUUCGACCGGCAAUUUUUAUUUGACGAGUAUGUGGCCAUUUCUCAUCGUUACGAUUUAAAAAAGGUACCAUUGAAAAGCUAAAUAACAGCUCUUUCGUCCUAUGUAAAAAUUGAAUUGUUUAGCUAAGUUUAUGAUACACGACAGCCUGUUGAAUUUCCGUAGCGUUUUUUCUUUGAGACACCCUGUAUAUAUAUAUAUAUAU
Non-coding RNA from Paramuricea clavata, 653 nucleotides. NCBI's taxonomy places the organism in Eukaryota, Metazoa, Cnidaria, Anthozoa, Malacalcyonacea, Plexauridae. The record is from the annotation of a GenBank genome assembly.